This 254-nucleotide ribosomal RNA is filed under the name uncultured bacterium. RNAcentral describes it as "partial 16S ribosomal RNA". It matches the Rfam family "Bacterial small subunit ribosomal RNA", at positions 524 to 777 of the family's 1533-position model. The record is from RNAcentral.
UACGAAGGGUGCAAGCGUUACUCGGAAUUACUGGGCGUAAAGCGUGCGUAGGCGGUUUGUUAAGUCUGCUGUGAAAUCCCCGGGCUCAACCUGGGAAUGGCAGUGGAUACUGGCAAGCUAGAGUGUGUCAGAGGAUGGUGGAAUUCCCGGUGUAGCGGUGAAAUGCGUAGAGAUCGGGAGGAACAUCAGUGGCGAAGGCGGCCAUCUGGGACAACACUGACGCUGAGGCACGAAAGCGUGGGGAGCAAACAGGG